Molecule: unclassified non-coding RNA, 251 nt
Filed under: Cladophialophora sp.
Lineage: Eukaryota; Fungi; Ascomycota; Eurotiomycetes; Chaetothyriales; Herpotrichiellaceae
Description: partial contains small subunit ribosomal RNA, internal transcribed spacer 1, and 5.8S ribosomal RNA
Rfam family: Eukaryotic small subunit ribosomal RNA (bases 1-46)
Source: RNAcentral
AAGUCGUAACAAGGUUUCCGUAGGUGAACCUGCGGAAGGAUCAUUAAUGAGUUAGGGUCUUCUAGGCUCGAUCUCCAACCCUUUGUAUAAUUACCAUGUUGCUUUGGCGGGCCCGUCUUUAACCGGACCGCCGGGGAUCUUUGGAUCUCUGGCCAGCGCCCGUCAGUAGCCCACAAUAAACUCUUCAAACCAUGUUAAAUCUGAAAAUAGUUAAUAAACUAAAACUUUCAACAACGGAUCUCUUGGUUCUG